GUAGGCCUACGGGACGCAGCAGUGAGGAAUAUUGGUCAAUGGUCGGGAGACUGAACCAGCCAAGCCGCGUGAGGGAGGAAGGUACAGAGUAUCGUAAACCUCUUUUGUCAGGGAACAAAGACUGGGACGCGUCCCCGGAUGAGUGUACCUGAAGAAAAAGCAUCGGCUAACUCCGUGCCAGCAGCCGCGGUAAUACGGAGGAUGCGAGCGUUAUCCGGAUUUAUUGGGUUUAAAGGGUGCGCAGGCGGUCUGUUAAGUCAGCGGUCAAAGCCCGGGGCUCAACCCCGGCCCGCCGUUGAAACUGG
Molecule: ribosomal RNA, 305 nt
Filed under: uncultured bacterium
Lineage: Bacteria
Description: bacterial SSU rRNA
Rfam family: Bacterial small subunit ribosomal RNA
Source: RNAcentral